RNAcentral lists this ribosomal RNA (458 nucleotides) under uncultured bacterium. Its description in RNAcentral is "partial 16S ribosomal RNA". It matches the Rfam family "Bacterial small subunit ribosomal RNA", at positions 338 to 795 of the family's 1533-position model. The record is from RNAcentral.
CCUACGGGAGGCUGCAGUGGGGAAUAUUGCACAAUGGGGGAAACCCUGAUGCAGCGACGCCGCGUGAGUGAAGAAGUAAUUCGUUACGUAAAGCUCUAUCAGCAGGGAAGAAACACUGACCUUACGGUCAGCAGACGGUACCUGAGUAAGAAGCCCCGGCUAACUCCGUGCCAGCAGCCCCGGUAAUACGUAGGGGGCAAGCGUUAUCCGGAUUUAGUGGGUGUAAAGGGAGCGUAGACGGUGCGCCAAGUCUGUAGGGAAAUGCCGCAGCUGAACUGCGGAACGGCUUUGGAAACUGGCGAACUAGAGUGCGGGAGGGGUAAGCGGAAUUCGUAGUGUAGCGGUGAAAUGCGUAGAUAUUAGGCGGAACACCGGUGGCGAAGGCGGCUUACUGGACCGUAACUGACGUUGAGGCUCGAAAGCGUGGGGAGCAAACAGGAUUAGAUACCCUAGUAGUC